Molecule: ribosomal RNA, 148 nt
Filed under: Solanum tuberosum (potato)
Lineage: Eukaryota; Viridiplantae; Streptophyta; Magnoliopsida; Solanales; Solanaceae
Description: rRNA 5_8S_rRNA
Rfam family: 5.8S ribosomal RNA
About the family: 5.8S ribosomal RNA (5.8S rRNA) is a component of the large subunit of the eukaryotic ribosome. It is transcribed by RNA polymerase I as part of the 45S precursor that also contains 18S and 28S rRNA. Functionally, it is thought that 5.8S rRNA may be involved in ribosome translocation.
Source: Rfam by way of RNAcentral
CUCUCUCGACAAUCGGCUCUCGCAUCGAUGAAGAACGUAGCAAAAUGCAAUACUUGGUGUGAAUUACACAAUCCCGUGAACCAUCAAGUCUUCAAAUGUAAGUUGUGCUCGAUGCCAUUAGGCAGAGGGCACAUCUGCCUGGGCGUCA